UACGUAGGGUCCGAGCGUUGUCCGGAAUUACUGGGCGUAAAGCGCGCGCAGGCGGCCCGCGAGGUGUCACGUGAAAGCCCGGGGCUCAACCCCGGGUCGGCCGUGCGGACUGGCGUGCUCGAGCACUGUAGGGGCGGGUGGAAUUCCGGGUGUAGCGGUGGAAUGCGUAGAGAUCCGGAAGAACACCGGUGGCGAAGGCGGCCUGCUGGGCUAUGGCUGACACUGAGGCGCGACAGCGUGGGGAGCAAACAGG
RNAcentral lists this ribosomal RNA (253 nucleotides) under uncultured bacterium. RNAcentral's name for it is "partial 16S ribosomal RNA". It matches the Rfam family "Bacterial small subunit ribosomal RNA", at positions 524 to 776 of the family's 1533-position model. The record is from RNAcentral.